This 406-nucleotide ribosomal RNA is filed under the name uncultured bacterium. RNAcentral describes it as "partial 16S ribosomal RNA". It matches the Rfam family "Bacterial small subunit ribosomal RNA", at positions 29 to 526 of the family's 1533-position model. The record is from RNAcentral.
AUUGAACGCUGGCGGCAGGCCUAACACAUGCAAGUCGAACGAGGGGCGGACGGGUGAGUAAUGUCUGGGAAACUGCCUGAUGGCGGGGGAUAACUACUGGAAACGGUAGCUAAUACCGCAUAACACAAGAUGGGCCCAGAUGGGAUUAGCUGGGGGGUGGGGUAACGGCUCACACAGGCGACGAUCCCUAGCGGGUCUGAGAGGAGGACCAGCCACACUGGAACUGAGACACGGUCCAGACUCCUACGGGAGGCAGCAGUGGGGAAUAUUGCACAAUGGGCGCAAGCCUGAUGCAGCCAUGCCGCGUGUAUGAAGAAGGCCUUCGGGUUGUAAAGUACUUUCAGCGGGGAGGCGUUACCCGCAGAAGAAGCACCGGCUAACUCCGUGCCAGCAGCCGCGGUAAUUC